RNAcentral lists this long non-coding RNA (1483 nucleotides) under Ursus americanus (American black bear). Its description in RNAcentral is "lncRNA (ENSUAMG00000023555.1)". Lineage: Eukaryota; Metazoa; Chordata; Mammalia; Carnivora; Ursidae. The record is from RNAcentral.
CCGAACUCCGUCCUGCCCCUUUUUUGGCCCAGGGCGACCUCGACAGCCCUGACAGCGACAGGCCCGCCGCAGUGCCCAGAAAGGCCCCCGGUGGCCCAGCGCCUCCCCGGCUCUUUCUGGAUGGAGGAGCCUCAGGAAGGAGCUGGCUGACGCUCUGGCCUGCACUCUCCAGCCGCUGCUGACCACACCUCCCCUAGUGCAGAGGCCGCUGUGAGGAGCAGGAAAUGCUGCACCAGCACAGCUGGCUCCCCGGGAUCUUGGUCUGAACGCUAGGAUGGAGCUGGGGGCAGCGACGGAAACCUUCGUGCUGGAGCUCCGGUGUCUUGAAGAUGGGGGCCCAUGUCCUGGCACCCUGUCAGGUGGCAGCGGUGGGAGUGAGAGUCAAGAGGAAGAAGAGGCUCAGGAUAAGAACGGCAGCCCUCCACGGCCAACAAGCGCCGCCCCAACGGGGGCCAGGGAACUGGCUGAGGAAGCAGCGCCCGGACAGCAGGAGUUGCAGCGGCAACAGUCAGAGCUGCAACCAGAGCAGCAACCACAAAGCCAGCCAGCAGGAUGGCAGCUAGAAUUGAAGCAGCAGCAGCAGCAGCAACACCUGCAGCAGGAACAGUUACAGCAGAAGCAGGAGGAACAGUUACAGCAGCACCAGCAGCAGCGACAACACCUGCAGCAGGAACAGUUACAGCAGAAGCAGGAGGAACAGUUACAGCAGCAGCAGCAGCAGCAGGAACAGCAGAAUCAGGAGAAACAGUUACAGCAGCAGCACCUGCAGCCGCAGGAACAGUUACAGGUGCUGCAGCAGCAGCAGGAACAGUUACAGCUGCAGCAGCUGCAGCAGCAGCAGCAGGAACAGUUACAGCUUCAGCAGCUGCAGCAGCAGGAACAGUUACAGCAGCAGCUGCUACAGCAGCAGCUGCUACAGCAGCAACAGUUACAGCAGCAGCAGCAGCUGCAGCAGCAAGAACAGUUACAGCAGCAGCAGCUGUUGCAGCAACAGCAGAUGCAGCAGCAAGAACAGUUGCAACAGCAGCAGCAGCCCGGUCCACUGGAGCCAGAGGAGGAGGAAGAGGUGGAGCUGGAGCUCAUGCCGGUGGACCUGGGGACGGAGCAGGAACUGGAGCAGCAGCGGCAGGAGCUAGAGCGGCAGCAGGAGCUGGAGAGAGAACAGGAACAGCGGCAGCUGCAGCUCAAACUGCAGGAGCAGCUGCAGCAGCUGGAGCAGCAGCUGGAGCAGCAGCAGCAGCUGGAGGAACAGCAGGAGGUGCAGCUGGAGCUGACCCCGGUGGAGCUGGGAGCCCAGCAGCAGGAGGUGCAGCUGGAGCUGACCCCCGUGCAGCCGGAGCUGCAGCUGGAGCUGGUGCCCGCCGCGGGGGGCGGCGGGACUUCGGCCCCGGGGCCCCCAGCCGCGGUCGUGGUGGCCCCCCCGGGCUACGUGGUGCUGCAGGAGCUCAUGGUGUUGCCGGCUGUGGCGGCGCCCGCGGUGGUG